RNAcentral lists this ribosomal RNA (978 nucleotides) under Lelliottia amnigena. Its description in RNAcentral is "bacterial SSU rRNA". It matches the Rfam family "Bacterial small subunit ribosomal RNA", at positions 514 to 1533 of the family's 1533-position model. The record is from RNAcentral. Lineage: Bacteria; Pseudomonadati; Pseudomonadota; Gammaproteobacteria; Enterobacterales; Enterobacteriaceae.
GGGGCGGGAAAAGGGGAGGCAUUAAUUCGGAAUUGCUGGGCGUAAAAGCGCACGCAGGCGGUCUGUCAAGUCGGAUGUGAAAUCCCCGGGCUCAACCUGGGAACUGCAUUCGAAACUGGCAGGCUAGAGUCUUGUAGAGGGGGGUAGAAUUCCAGGUGUAGCGGUGAAAUGCGUAGAGAUCUGGAGGAAUACCGGUGGCGAAGGCGGCCCCCUGGACAAAGACUGACGCUCAGGUGCGAAAGCGUGGGGAGCAAACAGGAUUAGAUACCCUGGUAGUCCACGCCGUAAACGAUGUCGACUUGGAGGUUGUUCCCUUGAGGAGUGGCUUCCGGAGCUAACGCGUUAAGUCGACCGCCUGGGGAGUACGGCCGCAAGGUUAAAACUCAAAUGAAUUGACGGGGGCCCGCACAAGCGGUGGAGCAUGUGGUUUAAUUCGAUGCAACGCGAAGAACCUUACCUACUCUUGACAUCCAGAGAACUUAGCAGAGAUGCUUUGGUGCCUUCGGGAACUCUGAGACAGGUGCUGCAUGGCUGUCGUCAGCUCGUGUUGUGAAAUGUUGGGUUAAGUCCCGCAACGAGCGCAACCCUUAUCCUUUGUUGCCAGCGGUUCGGCCGGGAACUCAAGGAGACUGCCAGUGAUAAACUGGAGGAAGGUGGGAUGACGUCAAGUCAUCAUGGCCCUUACGAGUAGGGCUACACACGUGCUACAAUGGCAUAUACAAAGAGAAGCGACCUCGCGAGAGCAGCGGACCUCACAAAGUAUGUCGUAUCCGGAUCGGAGUCUGCAACUCGACUCCGUGAGUCGGAUCGCUAGUAAUCGUAGAUCAGAUGCUACGGUGAAUACGUUCCCGGGCUUGUACACACCGCCCGUCCCCCAUGGGAGUGGGUUGCAAAAAGAGGAGCUAACCUCCGGAGGGCGCUACCACUUUGUGAUUCUGACUGGGUGAGCCCCACACGGAACAACCCUCCCCCCUCCCC